RNAcentral lists this ribosomal RNA (740 nucleotides) under uncultured bacterium. RNAcentral describes it as "bacterial SSU rRNA". It matches the Rfam family "Bacterial small subunit ribosomal RNA", at positions 8 to 722 of the family's 1533-position model. The record is from RNAcentral.
AGAGUUUGAUCAUGGCUCAGAAUCAACGCUGGCGGCGUGCCUAACACAUGCAAGUCGAGCGAGAAAGGGGACUUCGGUUCCCGAGUAAAGCGGCGGACGGGUGAGUAACACGUGGGUAAUCUACCCUCGGGUGGGGAAUAACUCAGGGAAACCUGGGCUAAUUCCGCAUGACAUCUCCUUUCCACAAGGAUUGGGGAUCAAAGCUGGGGACCCUUCGGGGCCUGGCGCCUGAGGAGGAGCCCGCGGCCAAUUAGCUUGUUGGUGAGGUAAUGGCUCACCAAGGCUUCGAUUGGUAGCCGGCCUGAGAGGGCGGACGGCCACACUGGGACUGAGACACGGCCCAGACUCCUACGGGAGGCAGCAGUGGGGAAUUUUUGUCAAUGGGGGAAACCCUGAACAAGCAACGCCGCGUGAAGGACGACGACCUUCGGGUUGUAAACUUCUGUCGGAGGGGACGAAAGCAGUAGCGGUUAAUACCCGCCAUUGUUGACGGUACCCUACGAGGAAGCCCCGGCUAACUCCGUGCCAGCAGCCGCGGUAAUACGGGGGGGGCAAGCGUUGUUCGGAAUUACUGGGCGUAAAGGGCGCGCAGGCGGGCGGGCAAGUCUCUCGUGAAAGCCCACGGCUCAACCGUGGAACUGCGGGGGAAACUGCUCGUCUUGAGUCCGGGAGAGGAGUGUGGAAUUCCCAGUGUAGCGGUGAAAUGCGUAGAUAUUGGGAGGAACACCGGUGGCGAAGGC